AGCCCAGCAGAGGAUUUGGCACUUGAAGGGCGUGGGGGCCGCUGAGGGGUCUAAGGAGGGCAGUGAAGAUGGGUUUCGUGUUUUUGAGCAGUCACUGGCUGUCGUGUGGUGGAAUUGUUUGGAGGAAGCAGGACCACGUGGGAGGUGGAGGUGACCUGGACCAGGGUGGUGGCAGCGGGGUCGUGGCUUCCUCAAGCAUCGCUAAGCUUCUUGAAGUCUAGACCCAAAAGACUGGUGUUCCAGCUCUUUCCUGUCUGAGCCUAGGGUUUUCUGCCUGGGGACUGACUUGGGGAACUUUUUUCUCCAUUCAGGCCAGGUUUUGUCAUUUUGCCGGUAGGGCAGAUGGUCACCGAGGGCUUCAGCCGCGUGACUGUCUGUGUGUCCUGGUGAGCCCAGCACCCAUGCGGGAGAUGCACACUUAGCCCGGAGGGGCGGGGUGAAGAGAGGCUGAUUCUCAGAAAUGGAACAGAUCAUGGAGGGUUUGGAAGGUGGGCUUAGGGGUCCUGAAAGAGAUGGAAAGCCCUUGGAAGAGAGGCAAGUUCAGAUGUGUCGUGUCAGGAAUGUCACUCUGGAGGCAGCCUGGCACUGGAAGGGCUGAAACUGGGGGCAGGGUGGCUCUCAGCAGUGGAGACAAGUUGUGAGGACUCUAAGGGAGUGGGGGAGAGACGGAGGAAGAGAAACCCCAGGACUGUUUGUGGCAGCCUGGACUGGGGUGGGGAGACUGGGAGAACGCUGUUCCGCAGAACUUGCUGCCACGACGGGACCGUUCUGUGUCUGUGCUCUCCAGUAGGCGCCAGGCGCUUAAAAUGUGACUAGUGCCACUGAGGAACUGAAUUUUAAAAUGUAUUUAAUUUUAACUAAUUAAGUCCAAGAAGGAUAGCCCAUCACACACAGAGGGUGUGGUGGGAAACACACUGUUCUAGGCUUUGUUCUUUUAAAUGUUUUUAAUGUUUCCAAUAACUGUAUGAGGUGUAAGAUUCCUUUUUCACAGAUAAAGGAAAUUGGAGGCUCAGAGAGAGUAAACAACCUCCCCUGUGCUAAGUUGUUUGACUUCUAAGGCUGGGCUCUCUGUGCUGCAUCCUGCUUCCUUCCCCCCAGGAACGAAAUCCUCUGAGUGCAGCAUUGUUUCCCCACGUGCUCUCCUUAUCUGUUCCCAGUGGUCUGAGGAGCCGGCGUAGACCCAACAGAAAGCUGUUGUGAGCUGGUUGUUUUGCCCGAGGCUUCUUCCUGCUGCCUCAUAUCUUCCUAGUGGCAGCUAUUUCUCUUAGCAUUUCCGGAAAAUGAAUGGAGUAAGAAGCUGGUGAAACUGCAGAUCAGCCAGACUGUGUGGCUUAUUUGUAAAGAACGGUGGUAAAAAGGUAGGAGUGAGUGCCUUACAGGAAGUUUUGGCGUCGCGGUAGACCGGUUAGUGCCAGGAUGGUGGCGAGAUUAUGGGCCGGGAGCCAGGAGUGAGUGUAUAGCUUGCGCCUGACUCCUUGCAGGCCUUGACCAAGUCACUACUCCUCGGAGGCUCAGUUUUCACUUCUAUAAAAUUAGGGUAUUUGGCAUCACAUAACCUAUAAGAUUCCUCCAGCUCUAGAAGUCUAUAAUUUUGAGUUUCAUUGGAGGUUUACUUUCUAGAACAUCUCUGUUGCUCUUGGGAUGGAGCAGUGCUGGUGGUUCAGCAUGCCUUUGGCCUCUGUGUUGGUGUGUUUUGCCAUUAUUGGCUUAUCAUUAAGUAACACGUCUCUUUAAGUUAUGUGACGUGUCACGUCUGUUGGACAAGCUGUUAAACAGCGAACACUUUAGCAGUUGGCAGGGUUUCUAGUAAAAUGUCGGGGAUGUUUGUUUGCCAUCCUGAGCCGCACUGAUGUUAGGAGAAAACGUGCAAGACUAUAUUUACCGUGGUGGUUGGCCUCUUAAAAAGGCUUAAUGUGCGUGGCUGGGCCAGGUGAGACGUGGUAAUGAUAGCACUUGAUAGGGUUCUGAGAGUGUAAAUGAGACAGUGGAUGUGAGGUGCUUAGUGCUUUCCCUGGGUUCUAGUAAGGGAGCAGAAAGUGUCAGUAAUUAGCGUUGCUUUUUGAACUAAACUGUUGACCUUUAAAUUUUUUUAUCAGUGAUGGGGUUUGUUGUUUUGGUUUGAACGGAUAUGCCCAAGCAGCUCUGUUUGGAGGCACUGGUUUCAAGAAGCAAAUGAACACAUUUUGAUCAUUACAAAAUAAGCAUUUUUGCUGUCAUAAUUCAUUUUGACUGACUAAAAAGUGAUUGGUUAGGUAGCAUGUGUUCAAAUGAAGGUUUUGUAUUUUCUGUAAAUUGAAGAAAACAAUUCGUCCUGAAGCUCCCUUACUAGUAAUGGCCGGGAUUAAGUUUCACCGGGCCUGUGGUUAAGUUAAUAUGUACUUGUGGUGACUGCCUUAGAAAAGUUGUGUGGACUUGAAAGCCCGCUGCUGCUGAGGGAGAAAGGUGGCUGUGAGGUAGUUUAUAGUAAAAGGUAAACAUUUUACAGUUGACUGAGUGCCUUCCAGAUCUUCACCUGAAGGUCUUCACCACAAUCCAGGCAGUGGUGUGGGUGAUGGACUUCUCAUUUGACAGGUUUGGAAACUGAGGCAGAGGCCUCACGGCUGGGAAUGUGCUGGUGUUUCCUUGUCUCCAGACCCUGGCUCCCCCCGACCCCCGGCCCUUUCUGGUGGAGCUGUCCGGGUCUGGGGCUGAGCGUCUCCUUUGCAGUUCAAAGGCUUUUGUGUCCAUUUGCGCCUUGUUUCCAGCUCAAGUGAACCUGCUCCUGCUAAUGGAAGUGGAAAUGCAUCGCUCAUCCAGAUCCCAGGAUUCACAGAUGGAUUCAGUGGAAAAGACAACAACAACUAGAAGUGAACAGAAAUCGAGUAGAAAGUUUUUGAAAAGCCUCAUCCGGAAACAGCCCCAGGAACUGCUCUUGGUCAUUGGGACCGGUGUCAGUGCUGCAGUGGCCCCGGGGAUCCCUGCCCUCUGCUCGUGGAGAAGCUGCAUCGAGGCUAUCAUCGAGGCCGCAGAGCAGCUGGAGGUGCUUCACCCAGGGGACAUCGCCGAGUUCCGCAGGAAAGUAAUGAAGGACCGGGACCUGCUGGUUGUUGCCCAUGAUCUGAUCCGGAAGAUGUCACCUCGCACAGGCGACACCAAGCCCAACUUCUUCCAGGACUGCCUGAUGGAGAUCUUCGACAGCCUGGAGCAGCACAUCCAGAACCCGCUGGUGCUGCAGUCCAUCCUCAGCCUGAUGGAGCGGGGCACGAUGGUCCUGACCACCAACUACGACAACCUGCUGGAGAUCUUUGGGCAGCAGCAGAACAAGCCCAUGGAGUCUCUGGAUUUGAAGGACAAGACCAAGGUCCUUCAGUGGGCAAGAGGACACAUCAGAUACGGAGUCCUCCACAUUCACGGCUUAUACACAGACCCCUGCGGGAUGGUACUGGAUCCAUCAGGAUAUAAAGAUGUCACUCAGGACCCAGAAGUCAUGGAAGUUCUCCAGAACUUGUACCGCACCAAAUCUUUUCUGUUUGUGGGCUGUGGAGAGACCCUUCGUGAUCAGAUUUUCCAAGCUCUUUUCCUUUACUCAGUGCCAAAUAAGGUGGAUUUAGAGCACUAUAUGGUUGUGCUCAAAGAGAAUGAAGACCAUUUCUUUAAGCACCAAGCAGACAUGCUUUUGCACGGGAUUAAAGUAGUGUCCUACGGGGACUGCUUCGACCACUUCCCGGGGUACGUGCAAGAGCUGGCCACGCAGAUCUGCAAGCAGCGCAGUCCAGAUGCCGAUGGAGUGGACAGCACCACAUUGUUGGGUAAUGCAUGCCAGGACUGUGCGAAGAGGAAGUUAGAAGAGAAUGGAAUUGAAGCUUCCAAAAAACUCCGACCGUCAGAUACGGAGAGAGACCAAGGUGCAUCUUCUCAGUGCUGCUGACCACACGGGCAGGCUGCAACGCUUGAAGGAAGGUGGCAGGCCCCUAGCCGCACGGCAGUCCUGUAUGAUGCUGGAGGGUCUUGAAAUCUUUAAACCAAUAAAACCUGCAACUUGAAAACCGGCCUCUGUAACCGCAGUGCCAUACCCAACCGUGAGGGACGUUCCGAGACCUCCACGUGGGACCUCAGCUCUCACCCGUCACGCCCCGGAAGGGCCCUGUGGGUGCGGGACCCUCGGGGGCCGCGUGAAGAGUUCCGCUGUGCGUGUGGGACUGCGCGGGCGGGGAAGCGGACACACUGCAGGUGUCCUUUGUGAGGACUGAUGGACAACUACCUCAGGGGCCAGCUUGGCAGGAAGGGAGAUCUCUGGUGUCCCUGAUGCCCGUGUGACAUGCCCUUUUUGUCAAGGUGGUUUUUUCUAAUAACAAGGAGAGAGUGAAGACUGUCCAAGCAACAGUAGUUGCCAAAGAGAAAAUAAGAAACUAGACACUUAUAUUUGGUAAUUUUUACGUGGAGACGUCUGUUACUGUAAACAGUUUGCAAGCCUGUCUGUCCCCUUGUUAGAUAGUAAAGCGCGCGGGUGCUCUCAAAGAAAGACAAGCUGAGCAGGGCCGCUUGGGAAUGGCGAUGUUACUAACUUCAGUCCCCAAGAACGGCGGGUCUGGCGUGCGAAGCAGCGGAGACCCGGUCACAAGUGCAGCCCCAUGCGGUGCGAGUCUGUUUUGUGACCGACAGUUGGGAAGUUCCGAGUGGAGCAUGAGACCAAGUUUGAGCUGGGAGCGAGUGUAUACUCCAGGCUCUCCCAGCCACCCUGCGGGGUGCGGCCAGCCCUUCCGUUGUCUCCAAAUGCGCUUCCCGUGGCCGGCGGAGGGCCUGCAGAGCGCGAGGGAGGCCAGACUGGGGGCAGGCGUGCAGCACUGGGAACGCUGCCAGGCUUCCUCCAGGGCAGACACGGUGCGCGCCCCGGGUGCAGGCCUUGUGCCCGGGAGUCGCUCUGACUCUGACCGAGUCGCUCUGACUGUGACCGUGGCAGAGGCCCUGCUAGGUUUACCUCCCAGAGGCUGCUUAUUUUGAAUGUGACAUUUCUUGCCAAGCCCUGGGACACUCCCCACGGGUGGCAGUGUAGCUCCCCAUAGGUAUAGAGAAAGUAAGGAACAAGAAAUAGAAAGUUGGGGCGUGUAGGGAAUGAGAGAAGCCAGAGACUUGCUUAAGACCUUUUCUUUUUGAAGCAUGGAAAACAAACCUUUUAUGUUAUUCUGGUCAUAAAUAAAAUUUUGACUUCAAC
This is an RNA transcript of Equus quagga, 5191 nucleotides long. It is a transcript of the gene named family with sequence similarity 118 member A, with no coding region annotated. The record is from RefSeq and is a predicted model, not a curated record. NCBI's taxonomy places the organism in Eukaryota, Metazoa, Chordata, Mammalia, Perissodactyla, Equidae. The transcript has 10 exons.